UACGGAAGGCAGCAGUGGGGAAUAUUGCGCAAUGGGCGCAAGCCUGAUGCAGCCAUGCCGCGUGUAUGAAGAAGGCCUUCGGGUUGUAAAGUACUUUCAGUCGUGAGGAAGGUGUUAAGGUUAAUAACCUUAGCAAUUGACGUUAGCGACAGAAGAAGCACCGGCUAACUCCGUGCCAGCAGCCGCGGUAAUACGGAGGGUGCGAGCGUUAAUCGGAAUUACUGGGCGUAAAGGGCACGCAGGCGGUUAAUUAAGUUGGAUGUGAAAUCCCCGGGCUUAACCUGGGAAUGGCAUUCAAGACUGGUUAGCUAGAGUCUUGUAGAGGGGGUAGAAUUCCAUGUGUAGCGGUGAAAUGCGUAGAGAUGUGGAGGAAUACCGGUGGCGAAGGCGGCCCCUGGACAAAGACUGACGCUCAUGCGCGAAAGCGUGGGGAGCAAACAGGGAUUAGAUACC
This 453-nucleotide ribosomal RNA is filed under the name uncultured bacterium. RNAcentral describes it as "bacterial SSU rRNA". It matches the Rfam family "Bacterial small subunit ribosomal RNA", at positions 340 to 786 of the family's 1533-position model. The record is from RNAcentral.